ACCCAGCGGGAGGCGACCGAGUCGGGUGCCAGGGGGCGCUGCGGAACCCGGCGGGGGGCGAGGCAGCGGCGGGACCCGGCACUAGGGGACGCUGCGCGCGGUCCCCCGCGCCCCUCCUCCUGCCGGGCGCACCGCUCGGCCCCGUGGAGGCGGGAGCGCGGGAGCACAGGCGCGGGGCGAGCGCAGGGAGCGCGCAGCGGCCCUGGCCCCCGCGGGAGCGCGGCUGCGGGGCCGAGCAGGGGCGGUGGGUGGCCAGGCGUCCCUCUUAGCCUGCGCAACUGCCCGCGCGCGGGCCGCGGUCCCCCGGGAUGCGAGCAGUGGCGGCUCGGCCGGCCGGGUCCCGAGCGGCGCGGAGGCCGGCCGCGUACGCUCCGCCCUCUUUGGCCCGGACCCAAUCUCCAGGGACUAAAAAUAUUGCCCGGAGGCUCCUGAGCGGAAUCAGAUCGCAUUAAGUAGGACGCAGGCUGAGGUGACUGAGCUUUUCAGCACCAGGGCCCGAAGAGCAGACUCCAGAGAGCGGUCCCGCCCACGCGCGUUCAGCAGCUAGCGUCCUCCCUCCUCCGGCAGGAACGUGCCUCCUGGGUCAGUAUGAAGCUGAAAAAGCAGGUGACGGUGUGUGGGGCUGCUAUCUUCUGUGUGGCCGUCUUUUCUCUGUACCUUAUGCUGGACCGAGUGCAGCAUGAUCCUGCCAGACACCAGAAUGGUGGGAACUUCCCCAGGAGCCAAAUCUCUGUGCUACAGAACCGGAUAGAACAGCUGGAACAACUGCUGGAGGAAAACCAUGACAUCAUAAGCCGUAUCAAGGACUCUGUACUGGAACUGACAGCCAAUGCGGAGGGCCCGCCAGCCCUGCUGCCCUACCAUACCGCCAACGGUUCCUGGGCUGUGCUCCCGGAGCCCCGGCCCAGCUUCUUCUCCGUCUCCCCCCAGGACUGCCAGUUUGCUUUGGGGGGACGGGGUCAGAAGCCAGAACUACAGAUGUUAACCGUGUCUGAGGAUUUGCCGUUUGACAAUGUGGAGGGUGGCGUGUGGAGGCAAGGCUUUGACAUCUCCUACAGCCCAAAUGACUGGGACACUGAAGACCUGCAAGUGUUUGUGGUGCCUCACUCCCACAACGAUCCAGGCUGGAUCAAGACUUUUGACAAGUACUACACGGAACAGACCCAGCACAUCCUCAACAGCAUGGUGUCCAAGCUGCAGGAAGACCCCCGGCGGCGCUUUCUCUGGGCAGAAGUCUCCUUCUUCGCCAAGUGGUGGGACAACAUCAGUGCCCAAAAGAGGGCAGCAGUUCGAAGGCUGGUGGGAAAUGGGCAGCUGGAGAUUGCGACAGGCGGAUGGGUGAUGCCCGACGAGGCCAACUCCCAUUACUUUGCCUUGGUUGACCAGCUCAUCGAGGGGCACCAGUGGCUGGAGAGAAACCUGGGUGCAACCCCGCGCUCGGGCUGGGCAGUGGACCCCUUUGGACACAGCUCCACCAUGCCUUACCUGCUGCGCCGUGCCAACCUGACCAGCAUGCUGAUUCAGAGGGUGCAUUAUGCCAUCAAGAAGCACUUUGCUGCCACUCAUAGCCUGGAGUUCAUGUGGAGGCAGAUGUGGGAUUCAGACUCCAGCACAGACAUCUUUUGCCACAUGAUGCCCUUCUACAGCUACGACGUUCCACACACCUGUGGCCCCGAUCCCAAGAUCUGCUGCCAGUUUGAUUUCAAACGUCUGCCGGGUGGGAGAAUCAAUUGCCCUUGGAAGGUGCCACCCCGGGCUAUUACAGAAGCCAAUGUGGCAGACAGGGCAGCCCUGCUCCUGGACCAGUACCGGAAGAAGUCCCGGCUGUUCCGAAGCAACGUCCUCCUCGUGCCACUUGGUGAUGACUUCCGGUAUGACAAGCCCCAGGAAUGGGAUGCCCAGUUCUUCAACUACCAGCGGCUCUUUGACUUCCUCAACAGCAAGCCUGAGUUCCAUGUGCAGGCCCAGUUUGGGACCCUCUCUGAGUAUUUCGAUGCCCUGUAUAAGAGGACAGGAGUAGAGCCUGGUGCCCGGCCUCCAGGGUUUCCUGUGCUGAGUGGGGACUUCUUCUCCUACGCUGACCGGGAGGACCACUACUGGACAGGCUAUUACACCUCCCGGCCUUUCUACAAGAGCUUGGACCGCGUCCUAGAAGCCCACCUGCGUGGGGCAGAGAUUCUAUACAGCCUGGCUUUGGCCCAUGCCCGCCGUUCUGGACUGGCCGGCCAGUACCCGCUGUCUGAUUUUGCUCUUCUGACGGAAGCUCGGCGUACACUGGGCCUCUUCCAGCACCACGAUGCCAUCACGGGAACCGCCAAGGAGGCAGUAGUGGUAGACUACGGGGUCAGGUUGCUGCGUUCCCUGGUCAGCCUCAAGCAGGUUAUCAUCAAUGCUGCCCACUACCUGGUGCUGGGGGACCAGGAGACCUACAGCUUUGACCCUGGGACACCCUUCCUCCAAAUGGAUGACAGCCGUGUAAGCCAUGAUGCCCUGCCCGAGCGCACGGUGAUCCGGCUGGACUCCUCACCCAGGUUUGUGGUGGUAUUUAACCCGCUGGAACAGGAGCGGCUCAGUGUGGUGUCCCUGCUGGUCAACUCGCCCCGGGUGCGCGUCCUUUCAGAGGAGGGCCAGCCCCUGUCUGUGCAGAUCAGUGUGCACUGGAGCUCGGCUACGGACAUGGUCCCUGAUGUCUACCAGGUGUCAGUACCCGUCCGCCUGCCAGGCCUGGGCCUGGGUGUGCUGCAGCUGCAGCCAGAUCUCGAUGGGCCCUACACGCUGCAGUCUUCCGUGCGGGUCUACCUGAACGGCGUGAAACUGUCCGUCAGCAGGCAGUCAGCAUUCCCUGUCCGUGUUGUGGACUCCGGCGCCAGCGACUUCGCCAUCAGCAAUCGCUACAUGCAGGUCUGGUUCUCCGGCCUUACUGGGCUUCUCAAGGGGUCAGGGCUGUGGUUUUUGGCAGAGCAUCCGACGGGUGGAUGAGGAGCAGGAGCAGCAGAUGGAACUGGAGUUCCUCGUCUACGGCACCCGUACCUCCAAGGACAAGAGUGGCGCCUACCUCUUCCUGCCUGAUAGCGAGGCUAAGCCCUACGUCCCUAAGAAACCUCCUGUGCUGCGUGUCACCGAAGGCCCUUUCUUCUCAGAGGUGGCUGUGUACUAUGAGCACUUUCACCAAGUGAUUCGACUUUAUAACCUGCCAGGGGUAGAGGGGCUGUCUCUGGACAUGUCAUUCCAGGUAGAUAUCAGGGACUAUGUGAACAAGGAACUGGCCCUGCGCAUCCACACAGACAUUGACAGCCAGGGCACUUUCUUCACAGACCUCAAUGGCUUUCAGAUACAGCCCCGGCAGUAUCUGAAGAAGCUGCCCCUGCAGGCUAAUUUCUACCCUAUGCCAGUCAUGGCCUAUAUCCAAGAUUCCCAGAGGCGCCUCACGCUGCACACUGCCCAGGCUCUGGGUGUCUCCAGCCUCGGUAAUGGCCAGCUGGAGGUGAUCUUGGACCGAAGGCUAAUGCAGGAUGACAACCGGGGACUAGGCCAAGGGCUCAAAGACAACAAGAUCACCUGCAACCGUUUCCGCCUCCUGUUAGAACGUCGGACCACAAUGAGCCCAGAGGUGCAUCAGGAGCAGGAGCGUUCUACAAGCUACCCGUCCCUCCUCAGCCACCUGACAUCCAUGUACCUCAGCACACCUCCUCUUGUCUUACCCGUGGCCAAGAGGCAGGGCACUAGCCCUGCUCUGCGCUCUUUCCACCCUCUGGCUUCUCCAUUGCCCUGUGACUUCCAUUUGCUCAAUCUGCGCAUGCUCCCAGCCGAGGACACCUUGCCCGCAACUGACUCUGCGCUCAUCUUACACCGCAAGGGGUUUGACUGUGGCCUUGAAGCCAAGAACCUGGGCUUCAACUGUACCACAAGCCAAGGCAAGCUAGCCCUGGGGAGCCUCUUCCAUGGCCUGGAUGUGACCUUCCUGCAGCCAACCUCCUUGACUUUGCUAUACCCUCUGGCCUCACCUUCCAACAGCACUGACAUCUCUCUGGAGCCCAUGGAGAUCAGCACCUUCCGCCUGCGCUUGGGCUAGGCCAGGGCUUCUUGUGGCCUGAAGACAGGGUUCAUCCACAGAGACUGCCUCCUAACACCAAGACUAAGCUGGACAAGCCACACCAAGUCUCCCCUCCGCUCUGCCUCAGAAGUGACAGACUGUGCUGUGCCCUUCCGUUGUCUAUUGCUGCUCCUGCGUUUGGAACAGUCCUUACAUCAGCAGGCGGCGGGGGCAGAGAGACAGGGGAGAGGAGGCCCUUGCCCUAGGCUGUGAGUAGGUACCCAGCUGGGCACAACUCAGGCUUCAUCCUUUUCCCAAAAUGGGAUGUAGGAAGAGUGGGGACAAGCAGAAGAGGUCAGGGAGGCUGGGGGACAACCUCACGCUAGGAGACUGCAGGUAUGAGCUUGCUCUGCGGGGUCAUAUGGACCCCACAGUGCUGGUAUGAGGGUACAGGAGCAGGGUGAUUCUGGGAGGAGAGGGGUAGGCGCCCAUUAUUAGUGGAGUAAAGGCGUGGAAGGAGUCCCUGGUUCUCCUAAGAGCCUAAAGGCUUUGCUGCUUUCUGCUCUGGCUCUGUUCUGAGUGCCACUGGGCCUGCUCUGAGUGCCACUGGGCCUGCAUGCCCUGGCUAGGGGCUGCUGGGUGCAGGAAGGGCUUGCUUCAGACUCCAGGCCAGAGGCCACGGAACACUUCAGGCACUAGCACUAGUUCUCAGCUGAUCAUUUGGUGUUGAUCUGUGACAGGGGUAGGGAGUGUCUCCCCCUGAUCUGCUUUCUUAUCUCACACACCAGGCUCCCCACGAGUUCCCAUUGUGGGGAUCCUGGCAGGAUUCCUUUCUCUAAAAUGGAAACAGAGUUUCCAAGAGGGCUGUGCUUGGGUGUCUUGGGAAGGCAUCCUGUGCUGGGGCCCCUGGUGGGCUGAGGAGGUUCACUCGUAUCCCACCUGCAGAAGUAUUACCUGCCCGCUGUGUGGACGAGGAAGGCAGAGACAAAAUUAGGAGGUCAUGUGCUUGGAUGAACCUUCGUUUUUGCUUCAAUCAAUAGAGAAUCUGUCUAUAAAUGAUAAGAGUUGGUAAAAGCAAAGUUCCAUCCUUACGAAAACUUAGUAAGCCAAGACUAGAAAGAAGCCCGUAAUCUGGAUAAAGAUCUCGUCACCAGUAAGCGAAGGCGCCCAAAGCAUCGGACAGAGCAGGCUCUGAUCCCCUCAGUCAGAAACUGCCCGGCGGCACAGUGUGUUGGUGUCACUAACCCACACUUCAGAUGGAAACAAGAAUUACAAUUGCCACUGUUUUAAAACCAUAAGCUACCUAAGAAACCUGUGUGUCAACUAGCAAGGCAUUCUGUGAGUUGCCCUGUAACGACUGGUUCUCCCCAAAUCAACCCAUAAACAUCAGUGUAAUUCCCACGAGGUUGGACACUUUCUGGAACUCUUCAGGUCCUGGCAUUCAUCUGGAAGGUGACAGGCUGAGGAUGUGAAGUAGUUCUGAAUGGCCGAGGUGAUGAACGGCUGCUGACACUAAGGCGGGCAACAGGCAGUAGCUGUCUUAACAGAGUUCUCAAACGACUUGGACUCUUCUGCCAGCGUGAAUUCAGCUGCCAUGAUAGGUCAGGUCAGACAGACCUAGGCACGUAGAAAUUCAGUAUAUGAUUUCAGGUGCAGGGGAGGGGAGGUGGAUAUUUUCAUAGUGCUUUGAGACAGCUACCUACCUAUGAGACUUCUGUUUCAAAAACAAAACAAAACAACCUAGGGCUAGAGGGAAAAAAGCAAAAGCAAACAACAAAAUUGUUAUUAUUAUUAUUAUUAUUAAUUAUUAUUUUAGUCUCACUAUGUACCUCUGGCUGUGCUGGAACUCAUUAUGUAAACCAAGCUGGCCUGGAAAUCACAGAGAUUCCCCACCUGCCUCUGCCUCCUGAGUUCUGGGACUAAAGGCAUGCGCCAUCAUCACACCUGGGAGGAAAAAAAUUUUUUUGUUUUUUUGAGACAGGGUUUCUCUGUGUAGCUCUGGCUGUCCUGGAACUCACUCUGUAGACCAGGCUGGCCUUGAACUCAGAAAUCCACCUGCCUCUGCCUUCCUAGUGCUGGGAUUAAAGGCGUGCACCACCACUGCCCAGCAGAAAAAAAUAUUUUUAUACCUGAUUUAGGAAACCCUUUUCUAGACAUAACAUGAAACCUAAUAUAUAAUGGGGGAACAUUAAAAAAUAGGUUUUGACACACACACACACACACACACACACACACACACACACACACACACACACACACACACAAAGCUUGAAAGCAUGCUAUAGGAAACAGGUUAAAUCAAUACAGCUGUGUGGGUGGAAACGAGUCUGCAGUGAGUUCUGUCACUGCUGGAGAAAAGUGUGUUUUGACUUCUCAGAGAACGUCACUAGGGUCUGUCCAGCAGCACCCAAAGACUCAGUAGUGACAAGGCUGAGUUCUUGCAGGGUCUCCAUGGUUUAUGUUGCCAGGCUCAGGCCACACGGCUUCCUAUUCAUGUCUUGGUGACAGGAAUGAGAUGAAGAGUGGGGAGCGCUUAGCACAGAGCAGGGGUUGCGCCUACAGCAAGACUUAUUUGCUACCAUAUGGUUUGUAAUCAAAUGAUAGGGAACUGUGCAGAAUAAAGAAUAUUCUUUGGAGGUCAGA
This is an RNA transcript of Mus musculus (house mouse), 6676 nucleotides long. It is a transcript of the gene named mannosidase 2, alpha 2, with no coding region annotated. The transcript is spliced from 24 exons. The record is from RefSeq and is marked validated. NCBI's taxonomy places the organism in Eukaryota, Metazoa, Chordata, Mammalia, Rodentia, Muridae.